Long non-coding RNA from Gadus morhua (Atlantic cod), 448 nucleotides. RefSeq lists it as uncharacterized. The transcript has 4 exons. The record is from RefSeq and is a predicted model, not a curated record. NCBI's taxonomy places the organism in Eukaryota, Metazoa, Chordata, Actinopteri, Gadiformes, Gadidae.
AUGGGACUGUGGUCAAUGGUCACUGCACCUGCAUGGCUGGCUUGGGUAGCAUGUGUUCCCAUGUCGCAGCCAUCCUCUUCAAAGUGGAGGCAUGUCACCGUACUGGCUUGACUACAGAUGCAUGUACAUCACAACUCUGUGAAUGGAACAAGACAUUUGUGAAGAAGAUUAAAUCUGGGCCAGUCGUUGAUAUGGAUUUUUCCAAGCCAAAUCACAACAAAACAACACGGACAGUCGAGCCUCAGCCUACCAAAGAGAUCAAGGAGCCAAAUCACAGUGAUUUUAUUGCAUUCCUUGCUGAUGUGCAAAAGGUAAACCCCACCACCGUCUUACUCAGUGUAGUGCCAGAGUUUUCUACAGCCACAGAGGAACCAACCCCUCUACACAUGCCCAUACCUCUUACUACACUACUAUACAAACCCGAGUAUAGAACCAUGUCAACACCAGA